GCCCUGGCAGUCAGAGGCGAUGAAGGACGUGCUAAUCUGCGAUAAGCGUCGGUAAGGUGAUAUGAACCGUUAUAACCGGCGAUUUCCGAAUGGGGAAACCCAGUGUGAUUCGUCACACUAUCAUUAACUGAAUCCAUAGGUUAAUGAGGCGAACCGGGGGAACUGAAACAUCUAAGUACCCCGAGGAAAAGAAAUCAACCGAGAUUCCCCCAGUAGCGGCGAGCGAACGGGGAGGAGCCCAGAGCCUGAAUCAGUGUGUGUGUUAGUGGAAGCGUCUGGAAAGGCGCGCGAUACAGGGUGACAGCCCCGUACACAAAAAUGCACAUGCUGUGAGCUCGAUGAGUAGGGCGGGACACGUGGUAUCCUGUCUGAAUAUGGGGGGACCAUCCUCCAAGGCUAAAUACUCCUGACUGACCGAUAGUGAACCAGUACCGUGAGGGAAAGGCGAAAAGAACCCCGGCGAGGGGAGUGAAAAAGAACCUGAAACCGUGUACGUACAAGCAGUGGGAGCACAGAGCAAUCUGUGUGACUGCGUACCUUUUGUAUAAUGGGUCAGCGACUUAUAUUCUGUAGCAAGGUUAACCGAAUAGGGGAGCCGAAGGGAAACCGAGUCUUAACUGGGCGUUAAGUUGCAGGGUAUAGACCCGAAACCCGGUGAUCUAGCCAUGGGCAGGUUGAAGGUUGGGUAACACUAACUGGAGGACCGAACCGACUAAUGUUGAAAAAUUAGCGGAUGACUUGUGGCUGGGGGUGAAAGGCCAAUCAAACCGGGAGAUAGCUGGUUCUCCCCGAAAGCUAUUUAGGUAGCGCCUCGUGAAUUCAUCUCCGGGGGUAGAGCACUGUUUCGGCAAGGGGGUCAUCCCGACUUACCAACCCGAUGCAAACUGCGAAUACCGGAGAAUGUUAUCACGGGAGACACACGGCGGGUGCUAACGUCCGUCGUGAAGAGGGAAACAACCCAGACCGCCAGCUAAGGUCCCAAAGUCAUGGUUAAGUGGGAAACGAUGUGGGAAGGCCCAGACAGCCAGGAUGUUGGCUUAGAAGCAGCCAUCAUUUAAAGAAAGCGUAAUAGCUCACUGGUCGAGUCGGCCUGCGCGGAAGAUGUAACGGGGCUAAACCAUGCACCGAAGCUGCGGCAGCGACGCUUAUGCGUUGUUGGGUAGGGGAGCGUUCUGUAAGCCUGCGAAGGUGUGCUGUGAGGCAUGCUGGAGGUAUCAGAAGUGCGAAUGCUGACAUAAGUAACGAUAAAGCGGGUGAAAAGCCCGCUCGCCGGAAGACCAAGGGUUCCUGUCCAACGUUAAUCGGGGCAGGGUGAGUCGACCCCUAAGGCGAGGCCGAAAGGCGUAGUCGAUGGGAAACAGGUUAAUAUUCCUGUACUUGGUGUUACUGCGAAGGGGGGACGGAGAAGGCUAUGUUGGCCGGGCGACGGUUGUCCCGGUUUAAGCGUGUAGGCUGGUUUUCCAGGCAAAUCCGGAAAAUCAAGGCUGAGGCGUGAUGACGAGGCACUACGGUGCUGAAGCAACAAAUGCCCUGCUUCCAGGAAAAGCCUCUAAGCAUCAGGUAACAUCAAAUCGUACCCCAAACCGACACAGGUGGUCAGGUAGAGAAUACCAAGGCGCUUGAGAGAACUCGGGUGAAGGAACUAGGCAAAAUGGUGCCGUAACUUCGGGAGAAGGCACGCUGAUAUGUAGGUGAAGCGACUUGCUCGUGGAGCUGAAAUCAGUCGAAGAUACCAGCUGGCUGCAACUGUUUAUUAAAAACACAGCACUGUGCAAACACGAAAGUGGACGUAUACGGUGUGACGCCUGCCCGGUGCCGGAAGGUUAAUUGAUGGGGUCAGCGCAAGCGAAGCUCUUGAUCGAAGCCCCGGUAAACGGCGGCCGUAACUAUAACGGUCCUAAGGUAGCGAAAUUCCUUGUCGGGUAAGUUCCGACCUGCACGAAUGGCGUAAUGAUGGCCAGGCUGUCUCCACCCGAGACUCAGUGAAAUUGAACUCGCUGUGAAGAUGCAGUGUACCCGCGGCAAGACGGAAAGACCCCGUGAACCUUUACUAUAGCUUGACACUGAACAUUGAGCCUUGAUGUGUAGGAUAGGUGGGAGGCUUUGAAGUGUGGACGCCAGUCUGCAUGGAGCCGACCUUGAAAUACCACCCUUUAAUGUUUGAUGUUCUAACGUGGACCCGUAAUCCGGGUUGCGGACAGUGUCUGGUGGGUAGUUUGACUGGGGCGGUCUCCUCCUAAAGAGUAACGGAGGAGCACGAAGGUUGGCUAAUCCUGGUCGGACAUCAGGAGGUUAGUGCAAUGGCAUAAGCCAGCUUGACUGCGAGCGUGACGGCGCGAGCAGGUGCGAAAGCAGGUCAUAGUGAUCCGGUGGUUCUGAAUGGAAGGGCCAUCGCUCAACGGAUAAAAGGUACUCCGGGGAUAACAGGCUGAUACCGCCCAAGAGUUCAUAUCGACGGCGGUGUUUGGCACCUCGAUGUCGGCUCAUCACAUCCUGGGGCUGAAGUAGGUCCCAAGGGUAUGGCUGUUCGCCAUUUAAAGUGGUACGCGAGCUGGGUUUAGAACGUCGUGAGACAGUUCGGUCCCUAUCUGCCGUGGGCGCUGGAGAACUGAGGGGGGCUGCUCCUAGUACGAGAGGACCGGAGUGGACGCAUCACUGGUGUUCGGGUUGUCAUGCCAAUGGCACUGCCCGGUAGCUAAAUGCGGAAGAGAUAAGUGCUGAAAGCAUCUAAGCACGAAACUUGCCCCGAGAUGAGUUCUCCCUGACUCCUUGAGAGUCCUGAAGGAACGUUGAAGACGACGACGUUGAUAGGCCGGGUGUGUAAGCGCAGCGAUGCGUUGAGCUAACCGGUACUAAUGAACCGUGAGG
This 2868-nucleotide ribosomal RNA is filed under the name Escherichia coli. RNAcentral describes it as "partial 23S ribosomal RNA". It matches the Rfam family "Bacterial large subunit ribosomal RNA". The record is from RNAcentral. Lineage: Bacteria; Pseudomonadati; Pseudomonadota; Gammaproteobacteria; Enterobacterales; Enterobacteriaceae.